Molecule: ribosomal RNA, 445 nt
Filed under: uncultured bacterium
Lineage: Bacteria
Description: partial 16S ribosomal RNA
Rfam family: Bacterial small subunit ribosomal RNA
Source: RNAcentral
GUGAGGAAUAUUGGUCAAUGGGCGGGAGCCUGAACCAGCCAAGUCGCGUGAAGGAAGAAGGAUCUAUGGUUCGUAAACUUCUUUUGCAGGGGAAUAAAGUGCGGGACGUGUCCUGUUUUGUAUGUACCCUGAGAAUAAGGAUCGGCUAACUCCGUGCCAGCAGCCGCGGUAAUACGGAGGAUCCGAGCGUUAUCCGGAUUUAUUGGGUUUAAAGGGUGCGUAGGUGGUUUGAUAAGUCAGCGGUGAAAGUUUGCAGCUUAACUGUAAAAAUGCCGUUGAAACUGUCGGACUUGAGUGUAAAUGAGGUAGGCGGAAUGCGUGGUGUAGCGGUGAAAUGCAUAGAUAUCACGCAGAACUCCGAUUGCGAAGGCAGCUUACUAAGCUACAACUGACACUGAAGCACGAAAGCGUGGGGAUCAAACAGGAUUAGAUACCCCGGUAGUCC